Molecule: small nuclear RNA, 102 nt
Organism: Nycticebus coucang (slow loris)
Lineage: Eukaryota; Metazoa; Chordata; Mammalia; Primates; Lorisidae
Source: RefSeq, a predicted model, not a curated record
GCUUGCUUCAGCAGCCCAUAUAUUAAAAUUGGAAUAGUACAGAGAAGAUUAGCAUGGCCCUGAACAAGGAUGACACACAAAUUCGAAGCAUUCCGUAUUUAA